Molecule: long non-coding RNA, 1169 nt
Filed under: Sinocyclocheilus anshuiensis
Lineage: Eukaryota; Metazoa; Chordata; Actinopteri; Cypriniformes; Cyprinidae
Description: lncRNA (ENSSANG00000012410.1)
Source: RNAcentral
UAUUUCUGUGUUUUUGUCCUCAGAGGACAAACUGGAGACGCUGCGUCCCGAGUUCUGCGUCUCCAGCUCUGGAGAAAUCCUGCAGGCCGGUGAUUCGUGGAAGCCGAACGCCUGCAGCAGCUGCGUCUGCCGUAAUGGGAGCGUCCAGUGCUUCUCGCAGCAGUGUCCGGCUGCCGACUGCAGGGUCCCUGUGCUGCGGAAGGGCCAGUGCUGCCCGCAAUGCAUGCUGGAGAUCACGAACACAUCAGUGCCGGUAAUGCUGUCGACGGCCGUCACCGAGAGCCGGAUCACCGCCGCUCCUCCGGUCCUCGCCGUCACCGAUGGUGAAGGUCUCUCGCGGGACGUCCCGAGCCAGACGCAGAUGACGCUCAUCUACCAAUCAGCGGCCUGGAUUCUGGCGGGAAUCCUGCUGGCUGUGGUCAUCUUCCUCCUGGUGGCCAUCCUGGUGAACCGCAGGAAGAACUGGGUUCAGAUGUCCUGCUACGGCGCGCCCAAGAAGACGGUGAUCCUGCAGAAACACGUGAAUAAGAGUUCGCUCGUUUACAUGGAGCCGUCCAGAGAGAACCAGUUCCAGAGUCUGAAGAGCGACGGCUCCGUGAGCUUCCCGACAGACGCCAGCAAAGAGCAGAUCUCUAUCCCUCGCGCUAAACUCGCCAGCGGACACGUCGAGCGCUAGCGUCCGUCUCACUCUUCAGAGGCCAGAAACUCCACCGAACGCUGGCGACUCCUGGAGCUUCGGCCUCCAGCGCAAGAACAACCAAGUACUGUGAACCGCUCGACAUCUCCCGCUUUAUUAGUGUUUGUAUGAUGUUCGGAGCGUCCGACACUUUGACAGACGUGGAGCAGUUCGGCGUCGUUCCAUGAUGGAGAAUCAAACCAAACGUUCAGGAACCAGACGGAUCUUCUGACUGCUCACAGACAUUGGUGAGAUCCAUACGGACCACAGUAAAGAGAUCUGCAUCAUAUUCUGAGGCCUUACGGCACAGACGUGUUUCCGGACCUCUCCAGUCUGUUUUUCGUUUCUAUACGUUAAAGUGUUUUACUUGUAGUUUGUUGUUAGUCGCUUAUAAGCCUCGUGACGGACUAAACAUUCCCCACGUUCAGAACCAACUCGACUUUUUAUAUCUUUUUUUUAAUGUAAUAUAUAGAUAUAUGGUAGACAUAUAAAU